Molecule: transfer RNA, 108 nt
Filed under: Cryptococcus depauperatus CBS 7841
Lineage: Eukaryota; Fungi; Basidiomycota; Tremellomycetes; Tremellales; Cryptococcaceae
Rfam family: tRNA
About the family: Transfer RNA (tRNA) molecules are approximately 80 nucleotides in length.
Source: Rfam by way of RNAcentral
GGCGAGAUGUGUGAGUGGUCUAAACAGCUGUCUUAAGGUGUUGUCGUCAUGUGGCACUGGUAAAAACGGCAGUCCUCCGGGGCGUGGGUUCGAAUCCCACUCUCGUCA